AAAAAUUCCCUCUCAAAAAAAUUACAAAACCCCUCUCCUCAGAUUACCCCUAAAAUUUCUCUCGGUUUCUCGUUCCAGAUUUUUCUUUUCUUCUCUCGCUUCCCAAAACCCCUCUCUUCAAAGGUACUUCCUCUCUUUGUUCCAAGGUCCAUUGUUGUUUUCUUAUUUUUGUUUUAAUUAAUCGAAUCAUCAUCUUCGUUUUCUUUUUUCUUCUUUUUAUGUAUAUAUUCGGACAAAAUCAAUACACACUUGAUACAAGCAUGUGUUUUGCUUGCAGGGUAUACAGCGAGACGAAGAAAUUCGAAGGAUUCAAAAAGAAAAUAAGGCCAGGACCUAUAGUGUAAAGAAUAAAGAAAUUCGAAGCAAGCAAGUUAUUCCACACACUGGUGGAUCUAAAGCUAAUCCUAGAAGAAGAAAUGAGUUGUUGUUAGAAACUGGGAAGCUACCAAGUCGUUGACAAUUAUAUAUUGAAACUCAUAAAAGCAAAGAUGGAUCAUUUAUAAAUGAAGCAGCAAAGACUAUAGCGGAACAAAUUGAAGUAGGAUUGACUCAAAGCAUAGUUGAUGAAUCUGAAGUUUCUCCUCUUGAUGUUGUUGGUAGAGUGUUAGGGUUAGAGCACUCUGGGAGAGUGCGAUGCAUGGGAUUAGGAGUUGUUCCUUCUAAUACAUUCAAAAACACAAGACUUCGAGCUUCUAGUCUGAGCUCUUCUUCAUCUGGUGUUGCCUUUCCAUCUUCAAACCAAUGGCAAGAGAAAUACAACAAUUUAGAAUCAGCUUUUAAGGCCUACAUGAUAAUGAAGGAAGGAAGGAUCCCUGAAGAAUUAGCUAGUUAUUUCACUCCUGAUCAAACACAUUCAAAUGAUGUUUCAAGUGUUCCUAAUACACCUUUGGAUGCAAGAGGAUCUUCUGGUGCUAGCAACCCUUAGUUUGCUUAUAAUGUAUUUUGGAUUUAAAGUUUAGUACAAUACUA
Glycine soja is the source of this 969-nucleotide long non-coding RNA. RefSeq lists it as uncharacterized. The transcript has 5 exons. The record is from RefSeq and is a predicted model, not a curated record. Lineage: Eukaryota; Viridiplantae; Streptophyta; Magnoliopsida; Fabales; Fabaceae.